Molecule: ribosomal RNA, 1441 nt
Filed under: uncultured prokaryote
Description: partial 16S ribosomal RNA
Rfam family: Bacterial small subunit ribosomal RNA
Source: RNAcentral
AACGCUGGCGGCGUGCUUCAGGCAUGCAAGUCGAACGGACCUUCGGGUCAGUGGCGGACGGGUGAGUAACACGUAAGCAACCUGCCCGGAAGUGGGGAAUAACCCACCGAAAGGUGAGCUAAUACCGCAUGUGAUGGCCUCUCCCUGGAGAGGCCAUGAAAGGCUUCGGUCGCUUCUGGAGGGGCUUGCGUUCGAUUAGCUAGUUGGUGGGGUAACGGCCUACCAAGGCGACGAUCGAUAGCUGGUCUGAGAGGAUGGACAGCCACACGGGGACUGAGAUACGGCCCCGACUCCUACGGGAGGCAGCAGCUAGGAAUCUUGGGAAUGGGCGAAAGCCUGACCCAGCAACGCCGCGUGGGCGAUGAAGGCCUUAGGGUCGUAAAGCCCUUUUGCAGGGGAAGAUGAUGACGGUACCCUGCGAAUAAGCCACGGCUAACUACGUGCCAGCAGCCGCGGUAAUACGUAGGUGGCAAGCGUUGUCCGGAUUUACUGGGCGUAAAGGGCGUGCAGGCGGUUCGUUAAGUCUAGGGUGAAAGCUCCCGGCUCAACUGGGAGAGGUCCUUGGAUACUGGCGGACUUGAGGGGGGUAGAGGAGAGUGGAAUUCUCGGUGUAGUGGUGAUAUGCGUAGAUAUCGAGAGGAACACCAGUGGCGAAGGCGGCUCUCUGGGCCCUACCUGACGCUGAGACGCGAAAGCGUGGGGAGCGAACCGGAUUAGAUACCCGGGUAGUCCACGCCGUAAACUAUGGACACUAGGUGUGGGGGGUAUCGACCCCCUCCGUGCCGAAGCUAACGCAAUAAGUGUCCCGCCUGGGGAGUACGGCCGCAAGGCUAAAACUCAAAGGAAUUGACGGGGGCCCGCACAAGCAGCGGAGCGUGCGGUUUAAUUCGUCGCAACGCGAAGAACCUUACCAAGGCUUGACAUGCUAGUGGUACCGAUCCGAAAGGUGAGGGACCCUUCGGGGAGCUAGCGCAGGUGCUGCAUGGCUGUCGUCAGCUCGUGCCGUGAGGUGUUGGGUUAAGUCCCGCAACGAGCGCAACCCUUGUCCUAUGUUGCCAGCGGAUUAUGCCGGGGACUCAUAGGAGACUGCCGGGGACAACUCGGAGGAAGGUGAGGACGACGUCAAGUCAUCAUGCCCCUUAUAUCCAGGGCUGCACGCAUGCUACAAUGGCCUGUACAACGGGCAGCGAUCUCGUGAGAGUGAGCGAAUCCCUUAAAGCAGGCCCCAGUUCGGAUUGAAGUCUGCAACUCGACUUCAUGAAGCCGGAGUCGCUAGUAAUCGCGGAUCAGCAAAGCCGCGGUGAAUACGUUCUCGGGGAUUGUACACACCGCCCGUCAAGUCACGGAAGUUGGCAAUACCCAAAGUCAGUGGCCUAACCCUUCGGGGAGGGAGCUGCCUAAGGUGGGGUCGGUAACUGGGACUAAGUCGUAACAAGGUAAC